AGGGGCGUAGCUCAAAUGGUAGAGCGCUGGUCUCCAAAACCAGUGGUUGGGAGUUCGAGUCUCUCCGCCCCUG
Molecule: transfer RNA, 73 nt
Filed under: Planctomycetota bacterium
Lineage: Bacteria; Pseudomonadati; Planctomycetota
Description: Planctomycetes bacterium (hot springs metagenome) tRNA-Trp
Rfam family: tRNA
About the family: Transfer RNA (tRNA) molecules are approximately 80 nucleotides in length. Their secondary structure includes four short double-helical elements and three loops (D, anti-codon, and T loops).
Source: RNAcentral